AGAGAGAGAGAGAGAGAGAGAGAGAGCAGAGAGAUAGAGAGCAGUGAGAAAUGCGCACAUCACUGAACCCUUUCGAUUCUAUUGCAAUGUCAAAUACGGUAGUUUUUUGUGUUCUAACUCUCUUGGAGAAUCUGCAACCUCGGCCACGAGCCCAUGAUCUCAACUUGAGCUUGUCGAGGCGGAUGUUUUGCGAGCUGCUGGCGCGCGUGUGCAGCCCCAGCGCCAACGAUAGCCCGAGCAUCCCAGCGGCUGAGGUAGACAACCGGCUUGGCCUUUGCCCUCGCUGCACCGCCGUCGGAGUGCGCGGCCGCAGUGGAGUAGCUCUACAGGGCGGCUGCACAGAGACAGGCAGAAGCUUGUGAAGAGCCAUGACUGUGAUCGAUAGCAGCAAUCUCUGAAUUCUUCUUUUGUUUCCCUUUGAGUUGAUGGGGGCUAGAUGUACUUCAGACAAGGCUUCAACAAGGAAGAGCGGAAAACCACUAAUACUUUUUAGUAUUGGAUGAUGUAGUGCACUAUCUAUCUAUCCAUUCAAGAAAAUUGAUGGCGAUGGAAUCCGCGUGUGUGCGUGUGUGGCUGUGCCUCUGGUCGCUCGAUGGUUUUUUAGGUUCCGUAAAGUAUGAAACUGCUGGUCCUAUUCUGAAUUCUAAUAAUGUUGAUCACCAGGGAGAAAGAGAUCAGAGGACGGAUGGAAGGGAUGGCGACAACGUCAUAUUCGAAAGGGAAUAACGCUGGAAUACCUUGUUGUUGCUACCUGUCAGAGUUCAUAAUUAUGAACUAAAUUACUUGGCACUUCUUAGUUGCCAAACUUGACAGUUGCUAAGACCUUCUGUCGACAAGAUACACAAACAUACAAUUGCAUGUUCUCCCUAGAUCGCGGAUGCAAUCGUGGCAUGAGAUUGUUAAGAGUGAAGACAUGCAUAUGGGUACUAUGUAGAGUAUUCGAAGAAGUCAUCUUCAUGAAACUAGCAGAGGAUAGACAUUAGGAAAAAUGAGAGAUGAGGUGAGUUUUUGUUGUUCACCAUCCAAUUCAAG
Long non-coding RNA from Triticum aestivum (bread wheat), 1032 nucleotides. RefSeq lists it as uncharacterized. The record is from RefSeq and is a predicted model, not a curated record. NCBI's taxonomy places the organism in Eukaryota, Viridiplantae, Streptophyta, Magnoliopsida, Poales, Poaceae. The transcript has 3 exons.